This 446-nucleotide ribosomal RNA is filed under the name uncultured bacterium. RNAcentral's name for it is "bacterial SSU rRNA". It matches the Rfam family "Bacterial small subunit ribosomal RNA", at positions 30 to 508 of the family's 1533-position model. The record is from RNAcentral.
AUUGAACGCUGGCGGCAUGGCUAAAACAUGCAAGUCGAGCGCGAAAGUGUAGCAAUACACGAGUAGAGCGGCGAAAGGGUGAGUAAUACGUUCCUACGUACCUCGAGGUCAGGGAUAGCCAGGGGAAACUCUGGGUAAUACCUGAUGUGAUCGAGAGAUCAAAGGCUUGCCGCCUUGAGAGCGGGGAACGUCCUAUCAGCUAGUUGGUGAGGUAACGGCUCACCAAGGCUUUGACGGGUAGCGGGUGUGAGAGCAUGGCCCGCCACAUCGAAACUGAGACACUGUUCGGACUCCUACGGGAGGCUGCAGUAACGAAUCUUCCGCAAUGCGCGAAAGCGUGACGGAGCAAUGCCGCGUGCAGGAUGAAGCCCCUCGGGGUGUAAACUGCUGUCAGGGAUUAGGAACACAAUGACCAGUCCCAAAGGAAGAGACGACUAACUCUGUGC